This is a long non-coding RNA of Ooceraea biroi (clonal raider ant), 4071 nucleotides long. RefSeq lists it as uncharacterized. Lineage: Eukaryota; Metazoa; Arthropoda; Insecta; Hymenoptera; Formicidae. The record is from RefSeq and is a predicted model, not a curated record.
UUGGAGUGAAAUCCGCCGAUUAAGGCACGAGGUUCAGCGAACCCGCGCGCGGUUCAGUUUCUCCAGGAACGCGUAUAUGUUAAUGAACCAGCGCGUGCUAGGAAACUUAAACCAGGCGGAAUACGCCUUCUGUACGGCGUGCACAUGCGGUGCGCCGUGUUAUUACAGUGGAUAGCAAAAAAAUCAACGUGGCUUACGGUAUCCGAUCAACGCGAAAUUUCGCUUCGCUACACGAUACGAAUCCCUUUGUCGCGGGGGUUCGCGCGUACAUGUUAAUUAAGCGACGUAAUACGCUUCCGGCAAUCACUUUAGAUCUUUCGCUUCCGUUCAGUCGGUUUUACUUUUUCUUUUUUUUUAAUCAGGUCAACGAUUAAAAAGAUCAAAUCGACCACUUUUGUUAAUACUUAAUAGUUAGUACACUUGUGUACUAAUUUAUCAAAUUAUUGAUAUUGUAUUCGUGUAAUGAAUAUAUGUAACAACAUAGUUGCAGUGAGCGUAAUUUCUGUACGAGAUGCUUGCGAAAUUAAUUCGUGAGAAAUAAUCGGAGAUCGUGAUUAUAAAUUUUGUUGUCCGUUUCAAAAAGGAAUUCCUCGCGCCCCCAAUUGCGCAACAAGAUCUUUAAAGACAUCGUACGCAACGUGCGACGAGGAUACGCACGAUCAGUCGAUGACGUAACGCGAACGGAGGCGUAUAUCGACGUCGAGUCGCCGCUACUUUAUAAGGAGCACCUCCUCACUAACACUAUUCGGCUUUCACUGUGAACAAACCCGUAAUCACCAUUCAAAGCGAAAUCGCGCGUGUGCGUAAGCCACGCGUAAUGGUACCGCAAUUCCGCGGUAGUACAAUCUACAAUCGGUCGAUUGACAAUUUCGCUCUCUCGGCAUCGCGAAUUUGUCACUUUGAAUAGACAGCCAGCAGAUUUUCUCGCGUUUAUCGUUCUCGAUGGGAAAAAUUUACUGCCGUGUUCGUAUCGUCCAUUACUAAACGCCCCUAAAAUGUACUUUCCGUCUUAGGCAUAUCACAGAUUCGAAACGUGAUCGCUGAUAUAAAGUAUGCUUCGUGAUAUUUUAUAAUUCAAAACGCACCGUUUCCGCGACGUAUACCACGCCUCCACCGCGGGGUAAAAAAAAUCCACGCGUUCUCUCCCACGUUAGUAAGGCCGUUAGAUUAAUCUCGGUCACGAGCUAUUAUCGCGCGCGGAGCGAGUGUGCCUCGAUCGUAAUUUGCAUCUGUCAUCGCCUCGAGCGCAGCCGAACCCUUGAAUUUAUCAGGUUCUCCGUUAACUGAAGGUCACUCGUCCAUUUGUCGUUUAAUUGACGAUGAAUUCGUCACGUGAGACAACGUUCGGUUACGGGGAAUGAUCUUUUCUCAGACGAUGAGCGUGACGGCAUAAAAGCGACGAAGUCCAUGCCAUAUGGGUGACAGAUCUUGUGGAAUAUAAAAGUGAAAGAAGAGAAGGUCUCCUUGCAUUCACCACACUUGGACGUUUACGUGCACCAUUGUGCUCUAAAAACCAAAACAAUUUGAGUUUGCUAGCAAAAUUACAAGUCUCCCGAACGAGAGUUUAAGAAAAAGAAAUAUUUUUCCUGAGGACUAGACAAACCGUGGCGUUUCUUCAUGGACUUCAAUGAAAAAGGAAACAUGUGUCAAACGCAGUCACAGGGAACAAUGCGAUUCCGAGGGAAUGACGUUGACGUGCCGCAGCCAUAUGGCCAACAGAACUGACCGCGUGUUGCGUGUAUGCAUCCCAUGAUGUUACCAUCCCGCCGAAAAAGGAAUUGUCAGUGGGCACGAAAAGAAUGUCUCGAGAUGACAAUUUCAUAUCCUGGCGAACGUCGAAUUCGCAACGCGUGUCUGUCUUUCUGUUCCUUGUCUCUUACGGCAUCGCGCACAGAAGCUGCCGUCGACGAAAGUAUUAAAACGGACUGUUUAAUCGGUGGCUACAUCGAAUUUUACACGCCGUGGUGAGUGAUUAAUCCUCUCUUUCUCUCUCUCUCUCUUCUUCUCCCUCGCGUGCCAUCGCGAUAUGACUCUCCGUAUAUUACGUAUGCGUGUGUAGGGCGCCGUUUGCACGCGUGUUACACGCGUGCAGGUAAGAGUAACAGGCCCCGAGGCCUCCGCCGUCUCUCGUCUGCAUAAUGAUAUGGCCAGAGCUUCGGGCACGUGCCUCACGCGAUCCUCAUUACCUUCUGCCUCCUUUUCUCCCUCUCAUCCCUUUCUCUCCUCUCCCUACUGGGAUCCGCAUGUUCGUUCUGCCCUGCCAAUUUUCGGAGGCGAAAAGAGUGACUAAACGACUUUGGGAUUGCACCGAGCGAAUCAAGUAUCUUUAUUGCGAUUGCCAGAAAUAAAAUUGCAGCGUAACCGAGAGUGAUCAUCGAGAUUCGACAGAUUUAUAUUUCCUAAAAAGUCGUGUAUAUUUGUAAUUAUUUAUAUCUCAUGAUUCAAAGUUAAUACGAAUUAAUGCAAAUGAUCAAUUAACGUUCUGAGAAAUGUAUUUUUCUCUUUGUUGGCUACUGUGCGACACUGCUUGAAGAGCGAGUAUUGUCAUACUGUAUCUCUGACGUACGGAUUAAUAAUUAGCUCCAAGGUGUGGUAGGUAUGCCAGUGGGCGUCGAGUGAAACAAGGUGAACGUAAAAGGCGAGUACGAAAAGGCGAUGAACGACGACUGAAAUUACGAGCGAUUCCAUACGCGUCUCAUAUAUCUCGUCACUUGAAUUUUUCGCGAUAGGAGUAACAGCUGCGGAAUGCCUCUAAACAAAUCUUCCGUCUCGCAGACGUGAUUGCAAUGAAUGCUCGCUCAAUGCUCUCGAACGACCCCGGUUUACAAUGUAGAAUUCGGUAGUCGAAAGCAAAAGGUUAACAACGUCCUAUAUAAAUAUUACUCGUGCCUUUUUUUUAUGCACGUUUUCAUUUCGUGUUUUUAUUACAGCGAUGACUUCAUGCGUCCCGUAAUUCAUCCGGAAGGUUGUGACACCGGCGAUCGCUUUAAGACGCCGCUUUAAAUCUCCAUGCGUAAGAAAGAGAGAGAGAGAAAUACACUUUAACGACAGCUUUGCGACUUUCACGGCGUUAAACUGCAUGCGUACAGCAUCACAUUGAAGGAGAUAGGAUGCGACAGCGUCUGGAAUAAAUUAAUUGAGAGAAGUGCAAAAGGAUCCGACACGCAGGUGACACGCAUUCGAUCAGUCUCGACUUUCGUUUUGUCAACCGGAAGCGGCGAGGAAAUUGAAUCCUCGUUUCCUCCUCUCGUCCCGACACGCGUCGUAAGCACCGCUGUCUGUUUUUACGCAGAGAAACGUAACGUUACGCGUAAAGCAACAUUCGUCAAACGAAUUGGCCUGUAACGCGUGUGAGAGAUCCAAAAUCAUCUUUCGAAAAGGAAGAAAUGAUUUUUCGUAAACGUGGAAACCGUAAGUGUAUUUACUAAACAAUCGAGUAGAUGUAUUUGUUUCUCUAAAAUGCAUCAAAAAGAAUUUUAUAGCAUUUAGGUAAUACAUUUCUCUUUCUCUUUCUCUCGUUCUUGCGUGCGUCAUCGUCUUGCAUAGAAUAAUCUACGAAACGAAGUUGGAGCUGCGAAUCGUUGCCGUUAGUCGUACCGUGUGCUUAUCACAUGGAAGCUGCCGAUGAUAAGAAGACUACGCUUCCCGGAAUAUCAGCGAGAAGCAUAUUGCAUGACAGACGCUUUACAAAGAAGAGCUAAUUUCUCUUUCCGACGAAAGCCGCAUUCGCGUGGCAUAUCUCCGCGUCGUUUUAUGACGCGUCAAUUAGCAAUUUCAAUCAUCAGCUCGAGGCACAACAAUGAGAGGCGAGUUUCCGCAAGUUUGUCCUGAUUUUCGAAUGUUGCGAUUAUUGUCGUGCUCGCUUUGUUCUCGCAGACAUCGUGCAGUCAUUCACAUACACUGAUAUCUACGAUGACUUUAAUGUUCGUAGAACUAUAUCUUCAAAGUUUCCUUCGCUAAUUUAUUGAAAGUAAAAUUUUUUAAAUUUUUAUUAAUACUCUGCCUGACAUAAUAUAAGCAGUGUUGCAUGAACAUGACAUCAGUUUAAUAAAAUACCAACCAAACCAGCAG